This 254-nucleotide ribosomal RNA is filed under the name uncultured bacterium. Its description in RNAcentral is "partial 16S ribosomal RNA". It matches the Rfam family "Bacterial small subunit ribosomal RNA", at positions 524 to 776 of the family's 1533-position model. The record is from RNAcentral.
UACGUAGGCAGCAAGCGUUGUUCGGAGUUACUGGGCGUAAAGGGCUCGUAGGCGGCCAACUAAGUCAGACGUGAAAUCCCUCGGCUUAGCCGGGGAACUGCGUCUGAUACUGGAUGGCUUGAGUUUGGGAGAGGGAUGCGGAAUUCCAGGUGUAGCGGUGAAAUGCGUAGAUAUCUGGAGGAACACCGGUGGCGAAGGCGGCAUCCUGGACCAACACUGACGCUGAGUGAGCGAAAGCCAGGGGAGCAAACGGG